UUUGGACCUACCACUUUCUUAUUAUUGUUGUUAUUAUUAUCUUUUAUAAUACUCAUUGAAUUUGUCUUGUUUUGAUUCCCCAAUCUUGCUGUUCUUUCACUCUUUUUGUUAUUUGAAUUUGAUUUAUUUCGUAUACUUUUUUGUAAAAACUAAUCAAAUUACUUAUUAUAUUUGUCUUAGCGUCAUGUUAACCAAGUAAAGUAUUUAUACGAAGAAUUGUAGUAACUAUGAAAACAAAAUUCUGAUUCCACUAUAUUGCGAUCAAAAAAAUUUAUUCUCUCAAUUAUUGAGGCAGAUAAAUUUUGGCAACGGACUGAACUGAUAGACGCGGUGGGAUCUCAAUCAGACGCAUGUCACCACUGCACUCCUCUGCUAUGCUUCACGAAGAUGAUCAUAAAGUUAGUUUUCGUAUUUUUGUAUCACACCGAAAGUAUAUCUCGAUAUCACACGGUUGAAACCUAACUUAAUAUAAUGGUUAACUAGACUUAAUUUGAUUGCGGCGAGCGAGAUGACGUAAUUUCUUUUGUUCUCGGCCCUAUGGUAGCAUGCUAAGAGUUUUUUUUGUUUUGAUAAAGGGUUUGCUAGCAUACUAAGAGUUGUUCGAUACUUAGAUUUAUUAUUAUUAUUUCAUAGUCCUGUGUUCCUUGUUUACUUUCCACGAUUUUUUAGUUGCUUUGAUGAGAGUAGCUGUGAAGUAUUUAUACUCGUACAUGAACAUUCUAAUUUUCAAGAAAAUGUGGAGAGGCGUCAGAGUAGGGAUAUGUCUAUGUUUAAUUUAUGUAUAUUAGCUUUCAUUACCACGCAAGUCGUGGUCUUUGAAUAAUUUUUAUUUUUUUGUAAAAUCGUUGAAUAGUUUUUUAUUUUGCUAUUAAAUCGUCCAAUAGUUUUAUUUUGGUAAAAAAUCGUUGAAUAGUUCACAUCCCCAGCUCUAUUUAUAUCGUCUUCUCACUCAAACAUCGUAAGAUAAAUAAAUUAUAUCUGGCACCUUGACACUUUAGUUUCGAAACUUCAAUCAAGUUUUAUCUUGUAAAAAAAAGAGUGAUUUGCAUAGAAAAUAUAAAGUAACUGUUGAUUGGCUAGUUCUUUUAGGAGAAACCCGUUUGACAUUAUAUGAAUGAUCUUUGUAUAAUAGCGUUCAACUGCGAAUUUACUCUAUAUAGAUAUGCCCAUUUCAUACCUUUUCAAUCGAAUUUUUUUCAUAUACAUUUUAGCUACCAUGUAAUACACCAUGAAAAUUUUUGGGACGAAAACGAUAGUUAUCAAAACAAAUGAAGUCUAAAUAAUCUAUAGGACACCCCACUGGACAAACCCACAUGGAACUAGGAGCUAUGGAUAAGAAAUUGACGGGCUUCAUAAAUUUUGUAAAACAGAUCUAUUUAAACCAAAAUUAAUGUUAUGUUUUUUUGUAUUAUUUUACCUUUCCCUUAUUUGAUUUAAUAUGCUACCCACCUACUUUUUGUCGUACUCGUUCAGUAUGAUAACAUAGCUCAGCCAGUCAGCCGACGAUAAAAUUAUUUGAGCUAUAUCGGAAAACUACUAUUUUCAAACACAAGCGGUUUUUUCCCCAUCGGUAAUUGUUGAUGAAUAAAGUCCCACAUCGUUAGUUGGAGAAAUAAUUAAGUAAUAUAUAAAAGGUUAGAGUCAAUCCACUAAUUGUCAAUUGGUUUUAAGUUGGAAGCCCAUAAUAACCUGAAUCUAAUAUGGUAUCAGAGCCAGGUUGAUCCUUGUGGAUCCAUUCCGGCAUUAUCUAUUGUUAACAUUAUGUUAAUGUUAACCAUAUAUAUAUGCAUCUUGUAUUCUACUUUACAUGGUAUCAGAGCAUUCGAUUUUUAGGGAUCAAAAUUAAAGCUUUUGCAAGUUUUAAGAUUUGAUGAGUAUGAUCAUCGGUGGUGUUGACGAUGAUCAAGAAGAUGCCGAAGACGAUCCAGACGAAGAUAACAUAUAUGUGAAGUUCUCUUGCAUUAUUUAGUUACUUCUUAAUAUUAUUAGGGUUUUGGUACGUUAUCUAAGUCAAAGGGACUUUUUUAUUGGUUUUAGUUCUCGUGAGUGCAAGAAUUACAAAGAGAUUCAAAGGUUUAUGUUUUCUUUUAUAGGAUCAGGGUUUUCACAAAAUUUUAUGAGAUUUAUUCUAUAGUUUAGAAUAUUUCAAAGUGUUGUUUUCUCAUAGUUUGAGAUUUAUUGGUUAUAGUUUAACCAUUACGGGGGAGUUCUAGUUGAACGCUCAAAUUCUUAGGUCAAUUCUUUUUUAGUCCGGUGUAUGGACUGUCCAAGUCAUGGAUGAUUGUUUUUUGGAGCUGCAGUUGCGCCCACGGGAUGUAUUCUCAUUGUGAAGACCAAAGAAGAGCUGAAGUUUUCAUCCUCCUUGUCCAAGUUGAAGUUUAUUCCCGAAGGAAUCUACUGAUUUGUUUUCCUCGACAUAGUGUCCACGACAUACGUGGUCUGCUUUGUGAUUGCAGAUUUGCGUGUUGCAUCCCACGUUUGUCGUGCGGAGGAGUAUUAGAGAUAUGUUGGGCCGAAAGAUGUGUAUCUUACGGACCAAGAUUGUGAAGACUGUGAAACCCAUGAAGAUCCUCAAAACUAAAAGCAAAGACUUGAAGAGCAAGUUAAUCUCAAGAUAUUAUUAGCAUAUUUACAUUAAGUGUUUAGGAAAGUUAGCAUUAUCUAUUGUUAACAUUAUGUUAAUGUUAACCAUAUAUAUAUGCAUCUUGUAUUCUCUUAUUAAAUACAACACAAUAAUAUAUUCAUUCUAUUACUUUACAGUAAUACACCUUUUAUAUCAUGUUAUUGUUUCAGUGAUUUAAAUUGGAUACAUGACGAUUCAAAGUGAUUAAAUUUCAACAAUCCGACUUUGCAGUAUUUCUUGUUUCGAUUCAUUCGGCUUUGUUCUAAGUUUGUUGUAUUUUUAUCUUAGAAAUUUCAGUACUCCUGAUAUCUAUGUUUUGUUUUAUGAGAAAUUUACUUUUUAAGUCACUUAUUGACUUUAAGCACCACAAUAGAUCACUUUUUUAUACUGAAACAUUUUUUUUGCAACUAAAGCCCAACUAGGCCUGUCUUGGUCCGUGAGAGCAAUUAGGGCUAGUUACAAUUUUGAAUUUCAAAUUAGAAUUGGUUUCAUUUUUUUCUUUUAAUAUUAAGAUAUUGUAAACGCAAAGAUAUUUUCACAGUUUCUCUCAUCUUUUACUGUGAAACACAAUUACAGAGGAUGACAGUUCUAUUUUCGAUUCAUCUUCGAUUCUUCACCGAUCGCAACUUGCUGCAUGAAUUCCGCUGAGAUACCGGGUGAGGGGGAGUGCUCGUCGUGCUGGCAAAGAGGAACAGAACCCCGGUGACGCGGAGGACUUGACGGCGUUCAUUCGGCGGCCGGGAAAAGAACACGUAGUGGAUGAGUCUUUUUUAGCCAUUACUGGAAUGUUUUUGGGUUCUGCUUGAAGGUAUUGGCGAAAUGAAACAGCUCCUGGGGUCGUGCUUUGGAAACCUUUCCAGGUUGCCAGUGAGGAGGUGUGAUUUGUGUACAUGUUUACGUUUACAUGUGUUAUGCUAGGUUGUAUUAUGCGUACAAUGUUUUAUAUGUACAUUUGUACGCGUCUGUAAACUGGUAUAUUUGUGACAUUUUUUUCUUGUACAUGUGGUUGUGUGAACUUUGUACGCCCUGAUUUCUUAAUAAGUUCUGAUGUUUGUUA
Molecule: long non-coding RNA, 3680 nt
Organism: Raphanus sativus (radish)
Lineage: Eukaryota; Viridiplantae; Streptophyta; Magnoliopsida; Brassicales; Brassicaceae
Exons: 2
Source: RefSeq, a predicted model, not a curated record